RNAcentral lists this transfer RNA (79 nucleotides) under Thermostaphylospora chromogena. Its description in RNAcentral is "tRNA_Pro_GGG". It matches the Rfam family "tRNA". Rfam says of the family: Transfer RNA (tRNA) molecules are approximately 80 nucleotides in length. Lineage: Bacteria; Bacillati; Actinomycetota; Actinomycetes; Streptosporangiales; Thermomonosporaceae. The record is from RNAcentral.
CGGGGUGUGGCCCAGCUUGGUCUAAGGCGCUUGACUGGGGGUCAAGAGAGCGGAGGUUCAAAUCCUCUCACCCCGACCA